This is a long non-coding RNA of Bradysia coprophila, 262 nucleotides long. NCBI's taxonomy places the organism in Eukaryota, Metazoa, Arthropoda, Insecta, Diptera, Sciaridae. The record is from RefSeq and is a predicted model, not a curated record.
AAACAGCUCAUUGUACUUCCAUCACGGUGCGGCUGAACAACUUUUUCUUUAAAAGGUCAUGAGACAUCGCUACUUUCGCAUGAAAUCACUAGAGGGGAUCUUCACAAGUAGUUUUGACAUGAAUUUAAAAUAUUUUACCGGGCGCCUUUUGAAGAAAGUUGAUUUUAGCGGUUGUACUGUACCCAGGGUGUUGUUUUUUUUGCAAAAAGGUUUUUUUUUUAAUUUUUAAGGCCUGGCGGUAUGUUCCAUCUAGAAUUGACCU